CAAUGUUCCUGCAGUGCAACA
Molecule: microRNA, 21 nt
Filed under: Danio rerio (zebrafish)
Lineage: Eukaryota; Metazoa; Chordata; Actinopteri; Cypriniformes; Danionidae
Description: Dre-Mir-33-P1a_3p (mature (guide))
Source: RNAcentral